AGCGAACGCUGGCGGCAUGCCUAACGCAUGCAAGUCGCACGGGGGGGCUUCGGCCUCCCAGUGGCGGACGGGUGAGGAACGCGUAGGGACCUGUCGAGGGGUGGGGGAUAACCGCGGGAAACUGCGGCUAAUACCGCAUGACGCCGCGGCGUGACAGCCGGGGCCAAAGGCGAAAGCCGCCCGCCGAGGGGCCUGCGUCCGAUUAGCUGGUUGGCGGGGUAGCGGCCCACCAAGGCGUCGAUCGGUAGCUGGUCUGGGAGGGUGAUCAGCCACACCGUGACUGAGCCACGGCCCGGACUCCUGCGGGAGGCAGCAGUGGGGAAUAUUGGACAAUGGGCGCAAGCCUUGUCCAGCAAUGCCGCGUGGGUGAAGAAGGUCUUCGGAUUGUAAAGCCCUUUCGGCGGGGACGAUGGUGACGGUACCCGCAGAAGAAGCCCCGGCUAACUUCGUG
Molecule: ribosomal RNA, 451 nt
Filed under: uncultured bacterium
Lineage: Bacteria
Description: partial 16S ribosomal RNA
Rfam family: Bacterial small subunit ribosomal RNA
Source: RNAcentral